UACGGAGGGGACUAGCGUUGUUCGGAAUUACUGGGCGUAAAGCGCACGUAGGCGGAUUUGUAAGUCAGGGGUGAAAUCCUGGAGCUCAACUCCAGAACUGCCUUUGAUACUGAGGAUCUCGAGUCCGGGAGAGGUGAGUGGAACUCCGAGUGUAGAGGUGAAAUUCGUAGAUAUUCGGAAGAACACCAGUGGCGAAGGCGGCUCACUGGCCCGGUACUGACGCUGAGGUGCGAAAGCGUGGGGGGCAAACAGG
This 253-nucleotide ribosomal RNA is filed under the name uncultured bacterium. RNAcentral's name for it is "partial 16S ribosomal RNA". It matches the Rfam family "Bacterial small subunit ribosomal RNA", at positions 524 to 776 of the family's 1533-position model. The record is from RNAcentral.